AUGCCUACAUUAAAUGCAAUGUCUCAAGCAAGGACUUCCUUUGAAAAUCUUCUACAAAUUCUUUGCAGGUUAUAUGUGACCUUUUGUAGUCUUCUGGGAAGCCCUGGCUCAGAACACGUGGAAAUACAGCUUUCUUUUGAAAGAUGAAGAACAGGAGAAAUUAGUUCAACAAUGUCUUUGAAGUAAGACCUGGAAUUUAUCAUAGUAAGUCUGGGAUGACUCCUGUGCUCCCUUCUAUCUCUAUCCAUGUGUAUUUUCGCUCCUUAUACUAGUAUUGUAAGCUCUGCUGGGGCAUGAAGUAGGUUUUAUUCUUUGUGAUGAGAGUUGUUGUUGUGAUACUGUAGCGCAGACAGUAAAAUAUUUUGCUUAUUACAAGGCAGAAACAUGCUUUUUCUCCUUUACCCAGCACUACCCAGUGGCCAGUAGACAACUCCCCAAAUCCAUGGAAGCAGAGGCAUUUCUGGAGUAGCAUUCCCUGCUCAAGUGAUGAUUAGAAAACAGAUAAAGUCAGACAGACAGCAGUAUUACUCCUGAGGGAGAGACCGAAAAGUAAAUCCAACUGAACAAAUAAAUCUCCCAACUUACAGUAAUGACUUAGGAGG
This 602-nucleotide long non-coding RNA is filed under the name Anas platyrhynchos platyrhynchos (common mallard). RNAcentral's name for it is "lncRNA (ENSAPLG00000019863.1)". Lineage: Eukaryota; Metazoa; Chordata; Aves; Anseriformes; Anatidae. The record is from RNAcentral.